Molecule: ribosomal RNA, 2086 nt
Filed under: bioreactor metagenome
Description: bacterial LSU rRNA
Rfam family: Bacterial large subunit ribosomal RNA
Source: RNAcentral
CUGAAUGGGGAAACCCGGCUGAGCAAACCUCAGUCACCGUACAGUGAAUACAUAGCUGUACGGAGGGAACCCGGUGAACUGAAACAUCUAAGUAGCCGGAGGAGAAGAAAGAAAACUCGAUUUCCAAAGUAGCGGCGAGCGAAAUGGGAAGAGCCCAAACCAGUGUGCGUGCACCCUGGGGUUCGGACUGCAUUUAUGACUUCCAAUGAUAGCAGAAUGGUUCUGGAAAGACCAACAAAAGAGGGUGAAAGUCCCGUAAGCGAAAUGAGCGGAAGCAGAGCAGGAUCCAGAGUACCACGAGACACGAGAAACCUUGUGGGAAUAAGCGGGGACCACCCCGUAAGGCUAAAUACUCCUUAGUGACCGAUAGAGCAGAGUACUGUGAAGGAAAGGUGAAAAGGACCCCGGGAGGGGAGUGAAAAAGAACCUGAAACCCUGUGUUUACAAACUGUGGAAGUACCAUACGAGUACAACCGCGUACUUUUUGUAGAACGGUCCGGCGAGUUACGGACACUGGCAAGGUUAAGUGCUUCAGGCACGGAGCCGAAGGGAAACCAAGUGUUAACUGCGCGUCAAGUCAGUGUACGUAGACCCGAAACCGGGUGAUCUACCCAUGUCCAGGUUGAAGUUGCCGUAAAAGGCAAUGGAGGACCGAACGCACAUCCGUUGAAAAGGGUGGCGAUGAGGUGUGGGUAGGGGAGAAAUUCCAAUCGAACCCGGAGAUAGCUGGUUCUCCUCGAAAUAGCUUUAGGGCUAGCCUCGUAUUAACCUCAUGGAGGUAGAGCACUGAAUUUCCUAGGGGGCGUCAAAGCUUACCAAAGAAUAUCAAACUCCGAAUGCCAUAGAGGUGAUGUACGGGAGUCAGACUGCACGAGAUAAGUUGGGUGGUCAAAAGGGAAAGAGCCCAGACCUACAGCUAAGGUCCCAAAGUGCGUGUUAAGUGGAAAAGGAUGUGGGAUUUCGAAGACAACUAGGAUGUUGGCUCAGAAGCAGCCACACAUUCAAAGAGUGCGUAAUAGCUCACUAGUCGAGAGGUCCUGCGCCGAAAAUGUCCGGGGCUAAAACACGACACCGAAGCUUAGGACUCAUACUUAAGGUAUGAGUGGUAGAGGAGCAUUGUUAACACGAAGAAGCUGUACCGGUAAGGAGCAGUGGAGAGUUAAGAAGAGAGAAUGCCGGAAUGAGUAGCGAGAGGAAGGUGAGAAUCCUUCCGGCCGAAUAUCCAAGGUUUCCAGAGUAAAGCUGAUCUGCUCUGGGUAAGUCGGGGCCUAAGGCGAGGUAGAGAUACGUAGCCGAUGGACAACAGGUGGAGAUUCCUGUACUAUGUGUGUUCAGAACUGUGGGGACGCAUGUGGAAAGUGUAAGCCGGGCAUGAAUGACCCGGUACAAGCGAGGUAGCAGUACAGUUGGCAAAUCCGCUGUACAAUGUGAAGACGUGACGUGGACCGAAAUGAAGUAGGGAAGUACAUGAGCCAUGUGCCGAGAAAAGCCGCUAUUGCAGCACACAUACCCGUACCGUAAACCGACACAGGUGGAUGAGGAGAGAAUCCUAAGGCCGACGGGAGAAGCAUUGUUAAGGAACUCGGCAAAAUGACCCCGUAACUUCGGGAGAAGGGGUGCCCAUGGAAACAUGGGCCGCAGAGAAUAGGCUCAAGCAACUGUUUAGCAAAAACACAGCUCUAUGCAAAACCGCAAGGUGAGGUAUAUGGGGUGACGCCUGCCCGGUGCUGGAAGGUUAAGAGGAGAAGUCAGGAAACGAAGCUUCGAAUUUAAGCCCCAGUAAACGGCGGCCGUAACUAUAACGGUCCUAAGGUAGCGAAAUUCCUUGUCGGGUAAGUUCCGACCCGCACGAAAGGCGUAAUGAUUUGAGCACUGUCUCGACAAUGCACCCGGUGAAAUUGAAGUACCAGUGAAGAUGCUGGUUACCUGCGCCAGGACGGAAAGACCCCAUGGAGCUUUACUCCAGCUUGAUACUGGGAUUCGAUACUGUAUGUACAGGAUAGGUGGGAGACUGAGAAGUAGCAACGCCAGUUGUUACGGAGUCGCUGUUGGGAUACCACCCUUGCAGUAUUGGAUUUCUAACCUG